GAGAAUCCUACAGGCCGAAUAUCUAAGGUUUCCUCAGGAAGGCUCGUCCGCUGAGGGUUAGUCGGGACCUAAGCCGAGGCCGAAAGGCGUAGGCGAUGGACAAUCGGUUGAUAUUCCGAUACCACUACCAUCGUUAUUAUCGAGGGUGUGACGGAGAAGGAUAGUGUGUGCUAGCGGUUGGAAAUGCUAGUCUAAGCGUUUAGGGAGUUACGGUAGGCAAAUCCGCUGUAACAAUUCUGAGGCGUGAUGGGGAAGGCCAUAUAGGCCGAAGUACAUGAUUCCAUGCUUCCAAGAAAAGCAUCUAGAGAGAGAAGUAGUGCCCGUACCGCAAACCGACACAGGUAGAUGAGGAGAGAAUCCUAAGGCCGGCGGAAGAAUUGCAGUUAAGGAACUAGGCAAAUUGACCCCGUAAGUUCGCGAGAAGGGGUGCCUGCGAGAGCAGGCCGCAGAGAAUAGGCCCAAGCAACUGUUUAGCAAAAACACAGGUCUCUGCUAAAGCGUAAGCUGAUGUAUAGGGGCUGACGCCUGCCCGGUGCUGGAAGGUUAAGGGGAACACUUAGCGCAAGCGAAGGUGUGAACUUAAGCCCCAGUAAACGGCGGCCGUAACAAUAACGGUCCUAAGGUAGCGAAAUUCCUUGUCAGGUAAGUUCUGACCCGCACGAAUGGCGUAAUGACUUGGGCACUGUCUCAACUGCAAAUCCGGCGAAGUUGUAGUGCGAGUGAAGAUGCUCGCUACCCGCGAUUGGACGGAAAGACCCCGUAGAGCUUUACUGUAGCUUAGCAUUGAAUUCCGGUAUUGUCUGUACAGGAUAGGUGGGAGACUGGGAAACUAGGGCGUCAGCCUUAGUGGAGUCAACCUUGGGAUACCACCCUGACAGUACUGGGGUUCUAACAGGACGCCAUGAAUCUGGUGACUGGACAUUGUUAGGUGGGCAGUUUGACUGGGGCGGUCGCCUCCUAAAAAGUAACGGAGGCGCCCAAAGGUUCCCUCAGAACGGUCGGAAAUCGUUCGUAGAGUGCAAAGGCAGAAGGGAGCCUGACUGCGAGACAUACAAGUCGAGCAGGGACGAAAGUCGGGCUUAGUGAUCCGGUGGUACCUCGUGGGAGGGCCAUCGCUCAACGGAUAAAAGCUACCUCGGGGAUAACAGGCUGAUCUCCCCCAAGAGUCCACAUCGACGGGGGGGUUUGGCACCUCGAUGUCGGCUCGUCGCAUCCUGGGGCUGUAGUAGGUCCCAAGGGUUGGGCUGUACGCCCAUUAAAGCGGCACGCGAGCUGGGUUCAGAACGUCGUGAGACAGUUCGGUCCCUAUCCGUCGCGGGCGUAGGAAAUUUGAGAGGAGCUGUCCUUAGUACGAGAGGACCGGGAUGGACUGACCUCUGGUGCACCAGUUGUUCCGCCAGGAGCAUGGCUGGGUAGCUAAGUCGGGAAGGGAUAAACGCUGAAAGCAUCUAAGCGAGAAGCCUCCCUCAAGAUGAGAUUUCCCAUAGCAUAAGCUAGUAAGACCCCUUGAAGAACACAAGGUUGAUAGGUCAGAGGUGUAAGUGCGGUAACGUAUUUAGCUGACUGAUACUAAUAGGUCGAGGGCUUGAGC
This 1591-nucleotide ribosomal RNA is filed under the name metagenome. RNAcentral describes it as "bacterial LSU rRNA". It matches the Rfam family "Bacterial large subunit ribosomal RNA", at positions 1323 to 2925 of the family's 2925-position model. The record is from RNAcentral.